AAGAAGCUUCAAGAGAGGAAGCACAUUUGUGGGAUGACUGGAGAUGGUGUAAACGACGCUCCAGCUUUGAAGAAAGCAGAUAUUGGAAUCGCUGUGGCUGAUGCAACUGAUGCGGCUAGAAGCGCCUCUGACAUUGUGCUAACGGAACCUGGACUAAGCGUGAUAGUGAGUGCCGUUCUUACAAGUCGUGCAAUCUUCCAGAGGAUGAAGAACUACACGAUCUAUGCUGUCUCCAUCACCAUUCGUAUUGUUUUGGGAUUCAUGCUUGUGGCUUUGAUAUGGCGAUUUGAUUUUGCACCUUUCAUGGUUUUGAUUAUCGCAAUCCUUAAUGAUGGAACUAUCAUGACUAUCUCGAAGGACAGAGUUAAACCUUCUCCUGUCCCUGAUUCAUGGAAGCUCAAUGAGAUUUUUGCUACGGGUGUUGUGCUAGGAACCUACAUGGCUCUUACCACAGUUCUCUUUUUCUGGCUAGCUCAUGAUACUAAUUUCUUCAGCGUAAGUAGGAUACAAUAUGAUAUCAAUGCACGUGAGUCAUCUGUUGCUUUCGGUGAGCCAGAGUGUAGACCAAUGGACUAUAACGAUCCUUAUAUGGAGUGGUACCGCAAAAUCACUAGAAGGAUCAUUAGUCCUAUGAACGAGAGACGCCCUGGGCAAUUUCUACCCACUGGUUUUGCUUUCCAAGUGCUUGUAAGUUGUAAUGAUCUUCAUCAUCAUAAGAUUCAUCAGUUUUUUUCUCCUUGCUUUGUACUCAUUAGCCAAUAUAAAUUUGCAGGUUCAGAGAGUUGCAGCCAUUCAUGCUCGAUCUAAGUCUUCGCUUGAAGAGGAACUUACUGUUGACACCGCGAGGCAAACGUUACAAGAUAUCGUUGAUAUGUGUGCAGGCGCCCUUCAACUCAACGCCCCUUUAGGCUCAUUAUCUACUGGUAGGAUUCCUUAAGAACGAUUAGGAUACAAUUCAUUUUCUUAGUGACUUGGUGAUGUGUUCUUUAACUAGUUUUGUGGGGACUUAUCUUUUUUAAAUUUGGUACUAUCUUUAUUAUAGGCUCUGUGUCUCAAGCUCCAAGUUCAGGACCAUUUCGCAUGUCACCUCAACCUACACCUACAAUGAUGUCGCAAAAGCCAUUGUCUAGCGAUAUGGUUUGCUUGCCUUUGAAUGAAAUGGGAAUAGAUGAUGGUCUCUUAGCAGAACCUUCUGAAGGGAUGCCACCUGUUCAGGAUACAGGAUGUGAGCAGUCUUUACCAUCAGUAUCCCAGAAGCCUCUUUUCUGGCCUACGGGAGGCAAGCUUACUUUCAGUUGGAUUUGUGAUGUAAUGUUGGGUUUUGAUUGGUCGUCGAGGAAUCUCCCAGCUUGUGAAUUCUCAAACGUUCUCCCCUUUAACGUCUUGGAUGAGCUAAUUCUCUCUGCCUCCAAGAUCCUGAGGAAAGAGCCGAACUGCGUUAGGAUAGACAGUGACAAAGCAAAGGUGGUUGUGGUGGGAGAUCUUCAUGGGCAGCUACAUGAUUUGCUGUUCCUUAUGCAGGAUGCAGGGUUCCCAAAUGGUGAUCAGUUCUAUGUGUUCAAUGGGAACUAUGUGGACAAUGGAGCAUGGGGUUUGGAAACCUUCUUACUUCUUUUAUCAUGGAAGGUAAGGUUAUAUCAUCCUUCAACUUCUAUUAAAUUAGACCACAUUUUUGAUUGAUAUUUGUGAUUUUCUGCUAGGUGUUUCUACCGGAUAGAGUGUUUGUUCUGCGUGGCAGUCACGAGAGCGAGAGUUGUACAUCAUUGUAUGGAUUCAAAAAUGAAGUAUUAACCAAGUAUGGAGAUAAAGGAGCAAUUGUCUACAAAAAAUGCUUGGAAUGCUUCCAGUUACUCCCUUUGGCAUCUGUGAUUGGUGGGAAGGUAUUUACAGCUCAUGGAGGUCUUUUCCGUGAUGUACCAAGCUUUCUCUCUGAUAAACAAGAACGAAGCAGGAAACGCAAGCGAGCUCAGAAAAAUCAAGAGGAUAACAGUGUUCUUGAGACUGAUAGUAGAUCUGAGUCCUUGCUUCUUGGCUCGUUGAAGGAUUUAUUUAAAGUCAAAAGGCGUGUUAUCAAUCCUUCUGCUGAAGGUUCAAACCUGAUUCCUGGUGACAUUCUUUGGUCAGAUCCAUCAACCGAUAACGGCCUCUUUCUUAACAAAGAGAGUGGCAUCGGUUUGCUGUGGGGUCCUGAUUGCACUGCAAAGUUCCUGCAAGACAAUGAUCUUAAGGUUAGAUCAAUCAGUUUCUGUUAAAACUCAGUCCUCAAAAACAUCGCACUUAGAAGCUUUGAGAAUUUGAUUGAAGAAACUGUUACUUUUUCAGCAUCAUGAUGCGAUUUCUUUUUAUGGCAGUUGAUCAUCAGAGGCAAGGAAGCCCCUCACAAAAGGGCACAACGAGAUGGUCUUCCAUCAAUGAUUGAAGGGUUUUCAAAAGACCAUGAAGGGCUUAUAACUUUGUUCAGUGCUCCUGAUCAUCCUCAGUUUCAGGUAUGCUUUAUUGGAUUUUUGAAUGUGAUAUUUUCAACCUGUAGUAAGCUCUAGCGAUUCAACAAAUGGUUAUGUGAGUAUUUGUUGUCUUGUAUGCAGGAUACAGAGGAGAGACACAACAACAAAGGUGCCUACAUAAUCUUGCAAACUCCCUACUGUGAGGAGCCUGAAAUUCAUGUGUUUGAAGCAGUAUCUCCGAGACCAAAGGUACUUCUACAGCUAAUGACGAGAUUCCUAACUUUUGAUCUCUCUUUAGUUUAUUCUUGAUUUGUUCUGAGUUCUGACAUCCGCAGGCUGAGGCGUACUAUAGAGGCCUGAUUCAUUCAACUGGAACUUUAGUACACAACAAUACUAAUUCUGUAGCUGUUGAUUCACCAUUCUCAGCGCCUGAUGACAAAGACAGUUUAUUAUCAUCUGAGAAUGUAGAAGAUAAGUCCAUGGAUCUUUCUGAGUCGAUGGAAGUUGAUGAAGUUACAACUUUUGGAACUCUAGUAUCUGAUGAUAAAGAUAUGGUUGAUUCUUCAGAGCAGACUAAAGAUUUUUCCAAAGAACAUGACCGUUCUGAGACUGCAGAGAUUAGUACAGAUUUAUUCGAUGCAGCCGGCAAACCGGAAUCUAGACCUCCUAACGUUAUUGACAAGGAACCGCCACUAGCUUGUGAUCUUCAUGUGCUUGAUUCUGGGAAGUCCAUAGAAUCCUGGACAGAGAAGGCAGCAGAUGAACUAAUGGCAGUUGAUGAAAUUGCUGGCGUGUCUGAAUCCACAACUGGAGAAGAAAAUGAUGUAGAAGCCUCCAACUCUACUAAGAUCUCGGAAGAGAGAGCAGAAAAAGAGAGAACUAGCGACUCUCUUGAGUUUUCAAAUAACGUAAGCGAAGAAGAGGCUCCAAGAGUAAAUGACUGCAGCACCACUGGUGACGCAGCAGUGGAAUUAGAAAUCACAUAUGAUGAGAAACCAGAAAGUGCAGUAACUGAAGUCACAGGGAACGAUAUAGCCACCGAUGGUGCUGAGAAGACUGCACUUUCAGCCAGGAAACUCAGUUAUUCAGAACCCCUUGAAGAUAUGGUUGAUUUUAAUAUGGAAGACAUAGCCACCGAUGGUGCUAAUAAUGAUCCGGGGUCUGUGAAUGGUGGGCUCAACACAGACUGUACCAGUUUAUCCAAAUGUCUAACCAGCAAAUCAAGUGGGUCUGAGCCAGCGGUGGAUCAUGAUAACCUUACAAAACCUUCUCGUGACAAGGAUCAUGAGGAGCCUGCAGACAAGCCAGAGAGAGUAGUCAAACUGGUUACCUAUUCUAAGCGCAAGUCAUCUGACAAAAAACAACUUAUUGAUUCUAGUGAAGAUCCUCAGCAGAAGAUCAACGAGGCUGUUGAUUAUAAGACCAAGACUGUUCUUGACAAGUCACACUCGGUUCCAAGAGAUAUGGACUCCUGAAGUCUCGUUCAGCUGGUCUUCUUCCCAAUACAGGUAAAUCCAAUCUCUAUUUUAAACCUACAAGACACUCUUACAGCGGUGUUAAUGUCUGUUUUUCACUUUUGGCGGUUCUGUUUGAUUUGAUUUAGUGAGUCUGGUUGUUACUUAUGGUUAACAGGCUCUGCAACAUUUUAUUACCAACACAGGUGUACGCCAUGACAUUUUUGUCUCACAUGUCUUGAGUUCCUUUUGCAGAUGAUCAGCAGCUAAAUCUCUUCAGGAUGUUUUCUCAAAGACAAUGUACAGUGGCCAUAGUAGCCUAGCUUUUCAAAUCCAUCUUAACUGGAUCCGCUUUGCUAAUUUCAGUUUAGAUGUUAAGAGAGUUUGAUUAGUCGGUAGGAUGGUGAUAUGUGUACACCUGAUAUCUUUUCUCGAAUUUAGCUUUCUCAGUUAAAAUGUAAUUUCUUUUUAUAUUUAAGAAAUAAGCUGUGUUUAUCAUUUGUUGCAGACUCUGAGCUGGAACCGGAUUAUUCUUCUUUUUCUUUUAAAUUACAUGAAUGUUAACUCAUCUUAUACUCAACCCAAACGUGGUGGUCCAAGGGGAUUUAAAACUUAAACUCGCUACAAUCUCAUAUUUGACAGUGAUGGAUUAUGUGAUCGCAUGUUUAUAAUGUAUUAACAGUGACAAUAGAAGCAUUACAGUAUCAGGAAACAUAAGACCAAGAGGAGUUUGCAAGCUUCAGUCUAAAACAAACAAAUAAAGAUGAAAAGGAAUGGGUACAAGGGACUUUUAUGUUUUGCCUUCUGAUGAUUCUUUCAUUUUGUGCGCAGCCAGCUUCCCACUUCUCUUUUCCUUAUGGUGCUAUACCAUGAAGAAGAUUGUUGUAAUUGGUUCAGUGAAAGUUAAAAAGUCAAUGAGAAUCAUAUUUUAGUAGACUUCCUACUAGUAGACUUCUAAUGUUUUAAAAUAGCUUUUUCUGUAAAAUAUUUCAAAAUAGUGUUUUAACCUAAAAUAGUAGCAAACCAAAACACAUAGAUUUUGUAUCUAUAAAUUUAGUUUUAUAUAAACAAAAUAUACAUAUUUAAAUGAAUAGAUGUAAAUCUUACAUUUUUGGGAAAAUGAUUUAAAAAAUUUGAAAGAAAAUACCUAAAAAAUAAGAUAAAAUUAUGAGAAAAAUAUAAGAAAAAAAUUAAAAUCAUAUUUGCGUAGACUUCUGAAGCUUGCUUAAAAGUUAAAGUUAGUAGACUUCAUUUGCAGUGUACUCAAUCCGAAAAAAAAAUAGAUUUGAAAAAUAUAUACAUUAAAAACAUGAAAAUAACUUUAAAUCUAAAAACUUUAUAAAAUAUAAUUUGUAAGAUAAGAUAGUAGUAAAUUAUAGACAUAGAGUUUGAAUAUGUAACUUUUUGUAAAUAUAAAUACAAAAACACACAUUAUAGAUGUAAAUCUUACAUUUUUGGGAGGAAGAGAUAAAAACCAUGGAAGAAAAUACCUGAAAAAUAAAGAUAAAAUUAUGAAAAACAUAAGAUAAAAAUAUUAAAGUCAAUUUCUAAUGAAGUCUCCUUAAAAAUUAAAGCUAGUAGACGAAGUCUACUAUAUCACAUAAUUUUCAGAUCUGAUAAAAUUUGUACACUUGAAAAUGUGAAAAAAAAUAUUUUUUAAAUCUGAAAAAAAAUUAUAAAAUAUAUUUUCUAAGAUAAAUUAGUAGUACAGUAAAUUCAUAGAGUUUGAAUAUGUAACUUUAUUUAAAUAUAAAUACAAAACACACAUUUAAAAUUUAUAAAUGUAAAUCUAUCAUUUUUGGAGGAGAUAAAAACUAUGGAAGAAAAUACCUGCAAAAUAAAGAUAAAAUUAUGAGAAAAAAAAACAUUAUACAAAAAAAAAAAGUCACCCCUAUUUUUGUAGACUUUUUUGUAGACUUCAUUAUAAAAUUAAAGUUACCCCUAUUAGAAGUCUACUAUAUCAAAUAAUUUUCAGAUCUGAAAAAUAUGUACAUUUGAAAUUGUGAAAAAAUAUUUUUAUAUCUGAAAAAAAAAAUCAAAAGUAUAAUUUAUAAGAUAAAAACUAGGAAAGUAAAUGCACAGAGUUUGAAUCUAUAACUUUAUUUGAAUAUAAACAUAAAAAAUACACAUUUAAAAUUUAUAGAUCUAAAACUUACAUUUCUAGAGUAGAAAGUUAUAAUCAUGAAUGAACCUAGUUCAUCUUCACAUUCAAAGAAUUUAGAGAGAAAUGAGAGAGAGUUUUAGAGAGAAUGGAGAGAGUUUUAGAGAGAAGUAAGAGUGAAUUUAUAAAUGUGUGCAUUAAUUUUAGAAAGAUAUUGUGUAAAUUUCAUUUAUAUAGAGAGACAAAAUUGCAACUUGGUUAAAAUUUACGAUAGAGUAGACUUUUUUGAAGUUUACUAAAAUUAAAAUUUUGGAGUAGACUUUAUUGUAAGUCUACUUAGUAGACUUUUUCGAAAUCUACUAUGAUUAUUUCAUUAUUGUUGUUUAUUCUCUAUUGUUUUAAUAAUUUUAAUAUAUGAUUUAUUAAAUUUAUGUAUUUAUUUUUAAUAUUUAAAGUAUAUGAUUUCACAUUUUAAUUCAUAAAGAAAUCAGUUUAAUUUAAAAAUGAUUUUUUUACACAGCAAUUAAAAUAGACUGAAAAGACGUCUACAGUGAAGUAAACUUUAUUGUAAUUCUACCAAACCCUAAACCACAAAACCCAAACCCUAAAUGUUUGCUUGAUAACCAAAAAGUCUCAGUUAUUGUAUCAAAUAUCGAAAUAUACAAAAUAUAAACUACUCAACACUAAUAUGCAAAUUUAAAUCAAGAAAAAAAUUCAAUCCUAAAAAUCUAACCCUUUAAGACAUAACAUGUUAGAACUUUUUGUUGCUAAACCAUAAACAUUGUCUAACACAUGGUUACCAAACCAAUAUAUAUUUUUAAAUGAUUCAAUUGUAUUAAAUUUGAGUUUAAAUACUUCUUAUUGAUUUUUAUAUUUAUGAUUUAUAAUAAAUUUCACACAAAUUAUUUUUAUACAUUUUCAAAAUAAAAUUAUUAUACCAAACUAUGAGGUAGACUUCAGAAUAAGUAUACUGUGUAGACUUUCUUUUUAAUUAAAUAUAGACUUUCGAAUGAUAAAAUCAUAAAAUAACUUAUUAGUUUUUUGUUUGGCAUAAGAAAUAGAUAAUACUUUUAUCAUCUCUUUAGGUUAGUUUUGCAGUUGAUAGAAUAUGAGGUCUAGUUUUGUAUUGCAAAUCAAUUUUAGAUUAUAUUUGGCAAAUUCCCUAAAGGAAUUUGGUGUUCCUAUUGAAGAAUUUCUACACUCUCGAAGUAUUGUUUAUUUUGGGAUACAAUUUAACAUUUUUUAUCAAAGUGAAAUUUUUAAAUUUUAGAUGCAGUAUUUUUAGAAACCUAACUGAAAUUUAGGUAACGUAGACAGCAAAACUUAUGCAAAAACAUAGGUGAACCACAGACAACUUGAUUAAUGGAAGAGGAAAAAUAGUUCCGAGAAAAAAGUUGGAUCUCUGGUUACAGCUUUAAAUGUAACACAACAACGAUUUGUUCAAGUGUAUUCUUGUCUUGUAUUUCUUUUUGUCCUAGGUUUUCUCUUAUACAAGCUUCUUCUUCCUCUGCCUCCCUCUAAUGGCCUCCUCUUGAACUGUCUUCCAUGACCGUCUAAGAGAAAGGCUUUAGAGAAAGGAGAGAAGGAAGAACUUGAUUCUUCCAACGGAUAUAUAUCUUUUUAUAUCUUUCUUUCAUCAUUAUUUACUUUUGUUAGAUCAUCUCUUUUAAGGAGCAAAAAUGGCAUCUGAAAUCUCUUGGGACGAAAUCAAGAAUGAGAACGUGGAUCUUGUAAAAAUUAUUUAACACAUUUCACUUCUAUAUAUACAUAUCUUUACUUAUCUGAUGUAUCUUAUUAAUGACGAAACUGCAAACCUUUUUUUUCUGACAACUGCAGGAGCGGAUCCCUGUGGAAGAAGUGUUUAAGCAACUAAAAUGCACAAAGGAAGGUUUGUCAAGUGAUGAAGGUAAGAAGAGGCUUGAGAUAUUUGGGGCAAACAAGCUUGAGGAGAAAUCAGAAAACAAGUUUUUAAAAUUCUUGGGGUUUAUGUGGAAUCCUCUCUCAUGGGUUAUGGAGUCUGCUGCAAUUAUGGCCAUUGUUUUAGCCAAUGGUGGAGGAAAGCCGCCGGACUGGCAAGAUUUCAUCGGUAUUAUGGUGUUACUUGUUAUCAAUUCCACCAUUAGUUUCAUUGAAGAGAAUAAUGCCGGCAAUGCUGCUGCAGCUCUCAUGGCUAAUCUUGCACCCAAAACUAAGGUAUGCAGUGAUCCAAAUUUUAUAAUACAAAGUUUAAUAUAUAUUCUUAAAAAGGAGGUUUAAUGCAAUGUAGGUGUUGAGAGAUGGAAAAUGGGGAGAGCAAGACGCUUCAAUCCUAGUUCCAGGUGAUUUAAUAAGCGUCAAACUGGGUGACAUUGUCCCUGCUGAUGCUCGUCUCCUCCAAGGAGAUCCUCUGAAAAUUGACCAAUCUGCUCUCACCGGUGAAUCUCUUCCAGUCACCAAACACCCUGGAGAUGAAGUAUUCUCGGGUUCAACUUGCAAACAAGGUGAGAUUGAGGCCGUUGUGAUAGCCACUGGUGUCCACACUUUCUUCGGUAAGGCUGCCCAUCUUGUCGACAGUACCAACAACGUUGGCCACUUCCAAAAGGUAAGAAACUAAUUUCAGAAACGAACAACAGUUAGAUGAUGCAACCGUCAGCCUACAUUCUCACAAACAUAUUUUUUUGUUGGCUUUUGUUUAGGUUUUGACAGCUAUUGGUAACUUCUGUAUUUGCUCAAUUGGAAUUGGGAUGUUGAUUGAGAUCGUAGUAAUGUACCCUAUUCAACACCGCACAUAUAGAGACGGUAUUGAUAAUCUUUUGGUGCUUUUGAUUGGAGGAAUCCCAAUCGCCAUGCCAACAGUUUUGUCGGUAACAAUGGCUAUUGGAUCACAUAGACUCUCUCAACAAGGUGCCAUCACCAAGAGGAUGACUGCGAUUGAAGAAAUGGCUGGAAUGGAUGUUCUCUGCAGUGAUAAGACAGGGACUCUCACUCUUAACAAGCUCUCCGUAGACAAGUCAUUGAUUGAAGUAUUUCCAAGUAACUUGGAUACCGAUGCAGUUGUAUUGAUGGCUGCAAGAGCGUCUAGAAUCGAAAACCAAGAUGCCAUUGAUGCAUCCAUUGUCGGCAUGUUGGGUGAUCCAAAAGAGGUACUUCUUUUUGUGAAACUUGGUUGAUUUAGUCAACUCUUUAUCCUUAUGUUGCAACUAAUCACGAUGUGAUCACUAGGCAAGAGAAGGAAUCAAAGAGGUACAUUUCUUGCCUUUUAACCCUGUCGAUAAACGUACAGCCAUUACAUACAUUGAUGAAAAUGGAGAAUGGCAUCGGAGCAGCAAAGGAGCUCCUGAGCAAGUAAUAGAAACUAAGAUCUAUAUUAGUGAAACUUAUUAUAUGUUUUCUCUUUUACCUAAUACCACUUUUUUUUUAAAGAUCAUUGAACUCUGCAAUCUCCAAGGAGAGGCUAGAAGAAAAGCUCAUGAAGUGAUUGAUGGUUUUGCUGAACGUGGGCUUCGUUCUCUUGGAGUUGCUCAACAAGUAUGUAACAGAAACACUCAUCACUUAAAAAUCGUUUUUACAGUUGUAUUUGUUUUCUUUUACAUUCGUUUGUAUUCAAAUGUAGACUGUACCUGAAAAGAGCAAGGAAAGCGAUGGUAGUCCAUGGGAGUUUAUUGGUCUAUUGCCACUGUUUGAUCCCCCAAGACAUGAUAGUGCAGAAACGAUCAGACGAGCCCUUGAGCUUGGUGUCAACGUUAAAAUGAUUACUGGUGACCAACUUGCCAUUGGAAUAGAGACUGGGCGUAGGCUUGGUAUGGGAACAAAUAUGUACCCAUCCACUUCACUCCUUGGAAAUUCAAAGGAUGAAUCAUUAGUUGGGAUCCCUGUUGAUGAGCUCAUUGAGAAAGCUGAUGGAUUUGCUGGAGUUUUCCCUGGUAAUAUAUAUAAAUUCGAAUGUUUUUUUAACUAGUACACCACACUAUCGCAAACUAUAGAUUAUAUGUUCUAGUCAAAUUUAAAUAUUCAACAAGAAAAAAAAAAUAUAUAUAUAUAUAUAUAUAUAUAAAUUUUUUUCAUUUGGCUUACACAGAGCACAAGUAUGAGAUUGUAAAGAAGCUUCAAGAGAGGAAGCACAUUUGUGGGAUGACUGGAGAUGGCGUAAACGACGCUCCAGCUUUGAAGAAAGCAGAUAUUGGAAUCGCUGUGGCUGAUGCAACUGAUGCGGCAAGAAGCGCCUCUGACAUUGUGCUAACGGAACCUGGACUAAGCGUGAUAGUGAGUGCCGUUCUUACAAGUCGUGCAAUCUUCCAGAGGAUGAAGAACUACACGAUCUAUGCUGUCUCCAUCACCAUUCGUAUUGUUUUGGGAUUCAUGCUUGUGGCUUUGAUAUGGCGAUUUGAUUU
This 10369-nucleotide long non-coding RNA is filed under the name Brassica napus (rape). Its description in RNAcentral is "long non-coding RNA (BNAP_LNC014006)". Lineage: Eukaryota; Viridiplantae; Streptophyta; Magnoliopsida; Brassicales; Brassicaceae. The record is from RNAcentral.